AAUAGAAAUGGUCAAAGCUCUAGAAAACAUGACUUAUGAGAGCCUGUCUCAAAAAAGCUGAUGUCUGUGAACUCAUCUGGCUCUGUCAAUCUGUUUUUUCACUUCCUCAGAUCAAUGCAUCAGAGCAGCCAGGGUGCUGUGUGCUGGGAUAAACGAGAGGCCACAGAGAAAUGGAACGGCGCUCACUGCCACGUUACACAGAGACGACUGAAUAUAAAGCUGGAGUGUAAAGCUUCUCCACACUGCACAUCAGAACGCAUUAGCUUGGAAACAGGACUGCAGUCUUCACUUCUCUUAAGCGUGCCAUCUAUCUGCUGAUGCUGCUAAGAAGCAUAUCCAUGUUGCAUGCACACCUGGUCCACUAGCCAAUGGACUGAGGCCUCCAGAAUCGUUUCCCCGAAGAGUUGGUAGUUUUCUAUCACUAACAAGGUGGUAGUACCAAUGUUUGUACCAAUACCCAGGAAUGAAAAGCUCCAAAUCACAUUUUGAAGCAUUUCUCUCUGACUAUUCCUUAAAGACAAGCGUGAUGUACAGUGACUGUAAGGAGAAAUGCUGGUUAUGAAUAUGCCCUUUUCUGUCAGGUUCCCAGACUUGCUAUUUCCCCUGGCACGUGCAGUUCCUGCUCCAAACAGGCAACUUCUCUUCCUCUGGCAUCCCAGUUGAGCCUGCCCAUGUACCUUUCAAUGACAGCUAGAGGGCUGCACACAGAGCCUGCUGGGACACAAACAACACAGGAACGGGCUGAUGUGGCUGUCUGGCAGCUGGUGGCAAGGGAAGACAUGUAUCUUUGGAAAGUGAGCAGGCAGCAGUCACUAGAAAUGACAGAAUCCUGCCUGUCGUGCAAUCCGAGCGUCUCUCAAUCCUCCCCAUUAUGAAGCUCCUCAGCAUGUCCAAUCCAAAAAGCACUACACUUUCUCCAGCCUUGUUUGCAUUGCAUUUUGGGAAGGCCUUGUAACAGUUAUAAGGAGGGCGAAGGAUACAAAGGCAAAAUGAGAACACCAAGGAGAAGGGCACAGUGCAGUCCCAUUCUUAGGGCUCAAUCCUGCAACACAUUUCAGGUGGCGCCAAGUCCACUUGUGUGCAGCAGGUUGCAAGGUGAGAGGCCAGAAGAGACUGCCAGCAUACAAAUAAUACUAUUCAUCGUACUGCUACUGAUCACCUCAUUCGAUGUUCUCCUGACUGAGGAAAAUUAUGCGCCACGCACACUUACAAUACACAUAUUGUCCCUUAUUAUGCCACAGCUCUUUAAAAAUUAUUUUUCAAACUUAAACAAUGAUGCAGUAAGGACUAGCCACUAUUGAACAAAAAUCAGCAGCUUUUGUUGUCUGAGUGCAAAAUAAGUCAAAACAAUUUCUUAAAAGUACAAAAAAGUCUAGUUUAUACUUGUCUACCUCAAACCAGUUCAGUGGGUUUUCUGUAGACACUGAGCAAAACAUCCACCCCUGUUUUUGAGACCAGGCAUGACAUUUCAGUUCAAAACUUAUUCGUAAAGAAAGUCCCUGACUGAAAAAGCUUUUGUCUCAACCUUUAUUCCUAGUAAAAUCCUUAUAAUCAUAAAAACAAAGCAACACAAAACAUUUGUCAAAUCAAAAUGUUGGUUGAAAUGUUUGUUCCAAUUAAAUAAGAUACUCUAAAGGCCAAUAACCUGGACUGUUCUUUCCAUUUGUUUAAUAGCGGAAUCCAACAGAUCACUUAGAAUUGGAAAUAAAGUGAAAAAUCAAGUGGUUUUCAAGUUAAACUUGCACCCGUGAGCCAGUUAUUAAAAAAACCCACAGCUAUGCUCUGGCAAAAAGAAUUGAUGAACAUGCAGUUUUAUGGGCCAGAUUCUCCAGUAUUUUAUCUCUUAUGCAGCCAUUUACUCCUGCGCAAAGAGAGUGCAAACCACUACCAAAAUCUCAGUGACUGCAUUUUAGAGUCACUGAACAUCUGGGAAAGGUGGUGGCAAAACAGGCUCUGCGUUGUGUACAUGACCACUGACUACCAAGGCACAUUUGAAGCAAAACUUACACCUCAGCAGUGCAGUCUCCAUCCGCCUGUUCCAUUCAGUGGCAUCACUAGAACUAUGUAGACCAGGGAUGGGGGGGCCCUCCAAGAAUUUGGUAAGUGGUCAAGUGCUGCACUCUUCCAUGUUAAUGGAGGAGGUUCGGGGUCUUGGGAAGGAGGUUGGAUGAAGCGGGAGCUUGGGGAAGGGAACUGGGAUGUAUGAGGGGGUGUGAGGUCUGAGAGGCAGUUUGGGUGAAGGAGGGGGCACUGGAGUGGUGAAGGGUCUGGGAGGAGGGUAUGGGUGCAGAAGAAAAUUCUGACCUGGAGGAGGGGUGUAUGAGAUGGUGCAGGGUCUAGUAGGGGACUGUGACCUGGGGAAGGGGUACAGGAGUUUGGAUUGUGACCUGAACCAGAGGACAGGGGUAUAGCUUCAAGGAGGGGGUAUGGGUGCAGGAUCAGGGUUUGUAGAGGGUCUGGAUUGUGACCUGGGGCAGAAAGUUGGUGGGAGGGAAGGGGUAGAAUGCCAGAUACAGGCUCUGGCCUUAGGCGGCUCCUGACCAGCAGCCCAACACGGCCCCUUCCCACUCAAGGGGUGCACGGCUUGCAGAGACGCACAUGUCCUCCUCCCCCUCCAGUCAGCUGCUUUGAGUGGUGUGUAGGGGCAUGGCAGCCAGGAAGCCUGCCUGAAGCUCCUGCUGGGGUGCAGGACAGUUGUGCGCCGUAUCCAGUGGUUUGGUGGACGAAUCCAGCCCCUGCUGAUGAAAGUUCCUGAAGAAAGAGAUGAAACCUGCCAAUUGGUGGAUUUAAUUACAAACUGAACACUGGAGCUGGGUUUGCUGAGGUUUCUGAGCUGCUCAGCAAACCGGACCAGUUUCAUAAGAUUUAUGUGCAUGGUGUUUAUUCCAUCAUAUUUUAAUAACAGUGGGUUUGAUGCGUUUUGUUUUGAAGGAUAAAUCACGCAGGCAGAAGGAAUCUGGAUCUGGAGAAGGAAUGGAGAGGGAAGGCAGUGCUACUUUUCAUUUGUUUAUCAGCUCAUCAGAUUCGUUCCAUCUAGAUGGUUAUUCUUCACACAGUUUAUCUGCACCGUGUUUGCCCAAGUACUGCUGAAAUGAUUUAGAAAACACAGAAACAUGGCAGUGGAACCAAAAAA
This is a non-coding RNA of Pelodiscus sinensis (Chinese soft-shelled turtle), 3133 nucleotides long. The record is from RefSeq and is a predicted model, not a curated record. NCBI's taxonomy places the organism in Eukaryota, Metazoa, Chordata, Testudines, Trionychidae.